CAACCCUCAGGCCCCGCCUGGUGUUGGGGACCUGCGCCUGCAGCCCCCGAAAGACAGCGGCGGGCUCGUCCCGGUCCCGAGCGUAGUAGCACACGUCGCUCCGGGUGCCGGGCGGGCUCCUGCCGUAAGCCUAUUCUCUCAAGG
RNAcentral lists this unclassified non-coding RNA (144 nucleotides) under uncultured Chaetosphaeriales. RNAcentral's name for it is "sequence contains ITS2". The record is from RNAcentral. Lineage: Eukaryota; Fungi; Ascomycota; Sordariomycetes.